AGGACGAACGCUGGCGGCGUGCUUAACACAUGCAAGUCGAGCGGUAAGGCCCUUUCGGGGGUACACGAGCGGCGAACGGGUGAGUAACACGUGGGUGACCUGCCCUUAGCUCUGGGAUAAGCCUGGGAAACCGGGUCUAAUACCGGAUAUGACUCCAUGACGCAUGUUGUGGGGUGGAAAGCCUUGUGCGGCUAGGGAUGGGCCCGCGGCCUAUCAGCUUGUUGGUGGGGUGAUGGCCUACCAAGGCGACGACGGGUA
Molecule: ribosomal RNA, 258 nt
Filed under: uncultured bacterium
Lineage: Bacteria
Description: partial small subunit ribosomal RNA
Rfam family: Bacterial small subunit ribosomal RNA
Source: RNAcentral